Molecule: ribosomal RNA, 2356 nt
Filed under: Salmonella enterica subsp. enterica
Lineage: Bacteria; Pseudomonadati; Pseudomonadota; Gammaproteobacteria; Enterobacterales; Enterobacteriaceae
Description: bacterial LSU rRNA
Rfam family: Bacterial large subunit ribosomal RNA
Source: RNAcentral
GGGCGUUAAGUUGCAGGGUAUAGACCCGAAACCCGGUGAUCUAGCCAUGGGCAGGUUGAAGGUUGGGUAACACUAACUGGAGGACCGAACCGACUAAUGUUGAAAAAUUAGCGGAUGACCUGUGGCUGGGGGUGAAAGGCCAAUCAAACCGGGAGAUAGCUGGUUCUCCCCGAAAGCUAUUUAGGUAGCGCCUCGUGAAUUCAUCUCCGGGGGUAGAGCACUGUUUCGGCUAGGGGGCCAUCCCGGCUUACCAACCCGAUGCAAACUGCGAAUACCGGAGAAUGUUAUCACGGGAGACACACGGCGGGUGCUAACGUCCGUCGUGAAGAGGGAAACAACCCAGACCGCCAGCUAAGGUCCCAAAGUCAUGGUUAAGUGGGAAACGAUGUGGGAAGGCCCAGACAGCCAGGAUGUUGGCUUAGAAGCAGCCAUCAUUUAAAGAAAGCGUAAUAGCUCACUGGUCGAGUCGGCCUGCGCGGAAGAUGUAACGGGGCUAAACCAUGCACCGAAGCUGCGGCAGCGAACGUAUCACCCAAGACAACUUUACGGAGUUGACGAUUGACGGAGCGAAGCGACGUCAAAGCGUUCAUUAAAGUCGAGUUGGCUUAGGGAUACGUUCGUUGGGUAGGGGAGCGUUCUGUAAGCCUGYGAAGGUGGCCUGUGAGGGUUGCUGGAGGUAUCAGAAGUGCGAAUGCUGACAUAAGUAACGAUAAAGCGGGUGAAAAGCCCGCUCGCCGGAAGACCAAGGGUUCCUGUCCAACGUUAAUCGGGGCAGGGUGAGUCGACCCCUAAGGCGAGGCCGAAAGGCGUAGUCGAUGGGAAACGGGUUAAUAUUCCCGUACUUGGUGUUACUGCGAAGGGGGGACGGAGAAGGCUAUGUUGGCCGGGCGACGGUUGUCCCGGUUUAAGCGUGUAGGUGUGUGUUCCAGGUAAAUCCGGUUCACUUUAACACUGAGGCGUGAYGACGAGGCACUACGGUGCUGAAGCAACAAAUGCCCUGCUUCCAGGAAAAGCCUCUAAGCAUCAGGUAACAUCAAAUCGUACCCCAAACCGACACAGGUGGUCAGGUAGAGAAUACCAAGGCGCUUGAGAGAACUCGGGUGAAGGAACUAGGCAAAAUGGUGCCGUAACUUCGGGAGAAGGCACGCUGACACGUAGGUGAAGUGAUUUACUCAUGGAGCUGAAGUCAGUCGAAGAUACCAGCUGGCUGCAACUGUUUAUUAAAAACACAGCACUGUGCAAACACGAAAGUGGACGUAUACGGUGUGACGCCUGCCCGGUGCCGGAAGGUUAAUUGAUGGGGUCAGCGCAAGCGAAGCUCCUGAUCGAAGCCCCGGUAAACGGCGGCCGUAACUAUAACGGUCCUAAGGUAGCGAAAUUCCUUGUCGGGUAAGUUCCGACCUGCACGAAUGGCGUAAUGAUGGCCAGGCUGUCUCCACCCGAGACUCAGUGAAAUUGAACUCGCUGUGAAGAUGCAGUGUACCCGCGGCAAGACGGAAAGACCCCGUGAACCUUUACUAUAGCUUGACACUGAACAUUGAGCCUUGAUGUGUAGGAUAGGUGGGAGGCUUUGAAGUGUGGACGCCAGUCUGCAUGGAGCCGACCUUGAAAUACCACCCUUUAAUGUUUGAUGUUCUAACGUGGACCCGUWAYCCGGGUUGCGGACAGUGUCUGGUGGGUAGUUUGACUGGGGCGGUCUCCUCCUAAAGAGUAACGGAGGAGCACGAAGGUUGGCUAAUCCUGGUCGGACAUCAGGAGGUUAGUGCAAUGGCAUAAGCCAGCUUGACUGCGAGCGUGACGGCGCGAGCAGGUGCGAAAGCAGGUCAUAGUGAUCCGGUGGUUCUGAAUGGAAGGGCCAUCGCUCAACGGAUAAAAGGUACUCCGGGGAUAACAGGCUGAUACCGCCCAAGAGUUCAUAUCGACGGCGGUGUUUGGCACCUCGAUGUCGGCUCAUCACAUCCUGGGGCUGAAGUAGGUCCCAAGGGUAUGGCUGUUCGCCAUUUAAAGUGGUACGCGAGCUGGGUUUAGAACGUCGUGAGACAGUUCGGUCCCUAUCUGCCGUGGGCGCUGGAGAACUGAGGGGGGCUGCUCCUAGUACGAGAGGACCGGAGUGGACGCAUCACUGGUGUUCGGGUUGUCAUGCCAAUGGCACUGCCCGGUAGCUAAAUGCGGAAGAGAUAAGUGCUGAAAGCAUCUAAGCACGAAACUUGCCCCGAGAUGAGUUCUCCCUGAGACUUAGAGUCUCCUGAAGGAACGUUGAAGACGACGACGUUGAUAGGCCGGGUGUGUAAGCGCAGCGAUGCGUUGAGCUAACCGGUACUAAUGAACCGUGAGGCUUAACCUUACAACGCCGAAG